This is a long non-coding RNA of Zingiber officinale, 264 nucleotides long. RefSeq lists it as uncharacterized. The record is from RefSeq and is a predicted model, not a curated record. The transcript has 4 exons. NCBI's taxonomy places the organism in Eukaryota, Viridiplantae, Streptophyta, Magnoliopsida, Zingiberales, Zingiberaceae.
GUCUGCUCUAGUCGCCUUGCACCGUCACCACAGCCGAACCACUUCACCGGCCACCAGGAUUUUGUGCUGUGGAGUGUCUGAUUUCCAGGUGCUAAUCCUCUCCGACAGUAAAUUGCCUUGGCUGUGAUUGAAGGUUAUUGCUUGGAUUCCAGCAACUACCUCUGUUCCGGCAGCAACGUUACCGGUUGAGGCUUCAGAAUUAGGGUUUUGACACGAGACGAGCAUCUCGACGUCCGAGUUGGACCGGACUGAUCUUAUUUUCCU